CACCCCGUUAAGAAGACUCAGGAACAUACCAACAAGAUCCACCUACGUAAGACAAAUACCUUCUCAAUUUUACACUCUCCCGACCUAGUGCACUGUCUCCUUUUAUCGUCAUAGUAACAGAGGGACGCCGGAACACCUCAUCGCCAUGCUGGGCCACUUCAGAAGCGUCACCAGGGCUUGUGGAGCCUUCAGGAGUAAGAUAAAUGUGGCUGCCUCUCCUUCAACCUCCCUCAGAGCCUUAGGCACUUCAAGUCACCUCCAGUCACUAAAUGCUGCCGAGGAAACUGACUCCCCUGAACGUGGCCCCUGUACCUCGAUGCCCAGUCCACCACACCGCUAGAUCCUCGUGUGCUGGAUGCAAUGCUGCCUUACCUCACCCACCAGUAUGGCAACCCACACUCCCGCACACACAGUUACGGAUGGGAGAGUGAGCGUGCUGUGGAGACCGCCAGGCAGCAAGUUGCAGACCUUAUCGGGGCGGACAAGAAGGAAAUUAUCUUCACAUCAGGCGCCACAGAGAGCAACAACAUCAGUGUGAAGGGCGUGGCGAGGUUUUACAAGUCAAAGAAGAGGCAUGUCAUCACCACACAGACAGAGCACAAGUGUGUCCUGGACUCCUGCCGUGCCCUGGAGAACGAGGGGUGGGAGGUGACUUACUUGCCGGUGGAUAAGUCGGGUCGCAUCUCAGUGGAGGAGCUGGAGAAGGCACUGCGUCCUGACACGGCUCUCGUCUCGGUCAUGACUGUUAAUAAUGAGAUAGGAAUUAUUCAGCCUAUCAAAGAAAUAGGAGAAGUCUGUCGAGCACACAAGGUCUUCUUCCACACUGAUGCAGCGCAAGCAGUUGGGAAGAUACCUGUUAAUGUCCAUGACCUCAAUGUUGACCUCAUGUCCAUCAGCGGUCACAAGAUCUAUGGUCCAAAGGGCAUUGGGUGUCUAUACGUGCGUCGCCGGCCCAGAGUGCGUGUGGAGGCUCUCAUGAGUGGUGGUGGGCAGGAGCGAGGCAUGAGGUCAGGCACGGUUCCUACCCCCCUGGUGGUGGGUCUCGGGGCAGCCUGCAACAUUGCCCUGCAGGAAAUGGAAUAUGACCACGCCUGGGUUUCUAAGCUCUCCAAUAUGCUGGUGGACUCUAUCACAUCUCGUGCCUCUCAUAUUAUCAGGAAUGGUGACCCAGACCAUUCCUAUCCUGGCUGUGUGAAUCUCUCUUUUGCCUAUGUGGAGGGUGAAAGUUUACUGAUGGCCCUGAAGGAUGUGGCACUCUCGUCUGGGUCAGCCUGCACUAGUGCGUCCCUUGAGCCCUCCUAUGUCCUGAGAGCAAUAGGUGCUGAGGAGGACCUGGCCCACUCCUCCAUCAGGUUUGGGCUUGGAAGGUUCACCACAAUGGAUGAAGUGAAGUACACAGCUGACAAGUGUGUUCAGCAUGUCAGCAGGCUGAGAGAGAUGAGUCCCCUCUGGGAGAUGGUGCAGGAAGGCAUUGAUCUGAAGAGCAUCCAGUGGUCCCAGCAUUGAGUUCUGACAGCUAAGUGUAUGGGGCGAAAUCAAGGAACCGCCCGGGGACAUCAGGACACUCUUCACUUUGUGUUUGUAUUGUAAUGUUGAGCGUCGCGAAUCCCAGCGAAAGGCUCUUGUUCCUCAGAUUUCCUCCCACUGUGUUCUUGGUUUGUACUGUAACCAUGGAGAAGCCACGAGCGAUGGUGAGGCAAGGCGCUGCUGUACAUACACAACCUGAGCGCCAGGCUCCUGCUCCUCCAAACACUGCUCUCAACCCACUACAAAGACAGAGUGACAUGUGAUCAUGUGAUUGCCUUUUCAAAGUGGUUCAAACUGAACUCAAAUUGUCGACUAAUUGCCUCGGAAUUCUGUUCUUUUGAAGGCCAAAGCAGUGUUUUUUGUAUUAUAACUACAUCUUAAUUUUCUUGAUCAGUUACAAGGUUAAGUGCACCAUGUAGCUGAGUGCUGGUGACCCAAAGACAAAGAAAAUUGUAUAGAAAUAUAUUAGCUAUUGAUAAAAGUUUAAAGAAAUAAUUAUUGUUUGGAAGAAUCUCUGUAAUACCAUACUUAAGAACUUCAGACCUAUUUUGGGGGAAUUAUUGAAAAAUCCAUGAAAAUUACCAGAAACUGAUGUUUGGAGCUGUACAUAUUUACACGGUGGAACCAGGAGGCUGGCCGUAAAGCUAUGAGAUAAUUGACAACUGACAUGACGGUGCCUGGAGAAACUAACACAACACAGUGGAGUGGUGACAUGGACGGAGGGAGCAACAUAAGUCGGGUUGGGUAGCCAAAACAAACUGACAAAAUUUCCUUUGGCAACUGCCUGGCUAUAGAGUAUCUUCUGUCAUGUAUCAUGUCUGUCCUGCACACCUCCCUCAAGCUGUUAUUGUCUGGGAGGGGCUCUCCAACAUAGUCAAAUAUUUAUACAUUUACCAUAUUAUACUAUAUUUGAGAGGCUGUGUUCUCAGAGUGCCUUCCCAGCACAGCUUGGGCAGGGAACAUCAGAACAGCCAAUGCAAGACUUGCUACACCAGGGACUGAAACAUUUCAUCUGGAGGACUGUUGCACUGGAGAAAAAUUUCAUUUCAUGUUUGUGCUCAAAGAAAGGAGUUAAAUGCAGUUAUUUGAUAUGAACAUACCAAGCAAUGCAAGACAGAGUCCAGGAAAUACUGAUAAAUAUUACUCACAACCAAAUCAUGACAUAAAGGAUUACAUUGUGUUGUUACGGCAAACGUUGUCAUUCCCACGGCUGGCUGAUGCGUCACGUUCAGCUUAAGCAACUUGAGUUACCAGGAAUACUGAUUAACUUUCCUGAAGUCCAUGUAAUCCAUGUAUUAAGUCUAACCUUUCUGUAUGCAAUGUCCAUGCGAAAGUCAAAUGCUGGGUUGUAUUGUCUGCUGGCAGCAUGACAAGAAAUCAAAAUGCAGCUCAGUGUUUCUCUAUACAGUCAAGUCUCCUCAGCUGGACUCACUGAUAUACAGGCAUGAGUUCUACAGUAGUGGCAGUGAUGCUGGCUGCUGCAGCACACACAUAGUAGCUGCAUGCACCAGCCACCCAGCAGACACCAGCAGCACAACAACCUGCCACGUUCACAAAUGGAGAUACUGUCUACCACACAAAAUACUGAGAUUCGUCAAUCAAGAAAUAUGCUGAUCGAGGCGCUGAGGAAUUUGCCCUGCAGAGAGUGGAGACUUCACUGUAUAGCCCUAAUAACCCUAGCUUGAUGGAGUACAUCAAUGAAAGCUGCCACACUAGAUGGAAAGAGAUGUAUUAUGCUUAUAGGAAUUGCACUUUUAAACGCCACUGACUUGCAGAUCACUGUACUGGGAGGAGGUUCUCAGUGGCCGGCUCACCACAGGACACCUCACCCAUCGUCAUCUCCCCACUGAUCACUCUACGUCCAAUAAUUCGUUCAUUUAAACUACAUCAUUCACGUAUUCAAACAAUAUACUUUUAUGAUACAACAACUUAACAGCCAAUUGACAUAAAGGAGAAAGAGACAGGAUGAGGAUAGAGGGAUUCUGGGUGAAGCUCUCUGUAUUAUACCCUCCAAGGCUGCCCUGCAUUAUACCACACACAUGCACACACACUCACGCACUCGCAUUCCUCAUGCCAGCUGGAGCAGUCCUACACUUUGCUGGGUUCUCAUGAAGUUGAUCAGUAGCUACAAUGCAUUUAUCAGUUAUCAUCUUCACCUACAUGCAGGUGUUGAAUGUAGAAUGUAAGCACACAGGCAUUCUUUCAUUAGUGCUGUACUGAUCAAGAAACAAAGGGAUUUUGGCACUCCAACUGAAAUAAAUAGUUCUUUGUUGCCUAGCAUGUAAUGGAUUGCAUUCCUUGUGCUCAAUUCUUCAUUAUAGGUGAGUGAUGCGUUUUGCAAUGCUCAGAAAACAAGACAGUCUCACAAGGGAAGGAUUGUCUGUCUCUCCUGUGCCACCAUUCCUGUCUCUCUGGAAUGCUGGAGGAGAGAGGGGUCAACUUAUUCCCAAAUACAACUCAAUUCCAAUAACACUCAUAAUUUUGUAUAACUAAAUGCAACUGAAUUAUCUCAAAUUACUUAUCCCACUUAUAAACCAAACACUAAGUUCCCUAAAGUUCUUGGCAAACUUGAGGGAAGAAUUACCUAUUUGUAAAAAAGUUUUAAGAAUCCUCACAUUUUCCUUCAAGUAAAGCCUAGAACUUGUAAAAUUCUAAGACCUUAAAACCUUCAUAUAAAUCAUACUACACACAAAACUCUUUCAAAUUAUAGCUUUUUAAUAAUAUCCUACUGGGAAUCUGGUUAAAGCAUCAAACUCUUUUUGUAAAGUCCUACUAAGGAGAAUUGAAAUGAAACUAUUAAACUCCUUCGUGUGACACCCUACCAAGAACAAUUUAAGCAUUGAACCUCUUUCAUAAUGCCAUACAAAGGAGAAUUUCAUUUAAAGCAUCAAGAUCACAAGUAAGCCACCUCAGAACUGGCAACACUGGCAUGCCCUAGUGAUCUGGUCGGCCGGCAGUAGCAGUGGGACCAGCAGACACCUUUCCUGCACCCUCAGGGGAAAGUGUCCUGGCUACAACUUGGUCAGUAGAGAAACGGAGGGAGGGAAACAGGUCUGCCGAGUGUGCCUUGAAGGGUGUCCACUCCUGGGUUGUGUUGUGACCACCCCAGGCUUUACUCCUCCUCUGAAUCCCCAUCACUGGAGUAGCCCUGAGUGGGUAUUGGCCGGUGGUACGGUGCACACUCCAUUUGUCUGCAAGAGUGUAAACAAGUUGCUGGAGGGACAAAGCAAAUCUGGAGGGCUGUUGUGUUUGGAGAGAAGCAAGACAACCAGUGGGAAGGAGAUGGAAAGAUUUAGUACAUUAGGGCAGCUGUGAAAUGUGUUAAUUUUGUUUGGUUAUGUUAAUUGUGGUGAUAAUUAGUGAUUGAAGUUUAGCUAAUGAGUGCUUUAUGAGUAAAUAUUUGUGUGAAGCUUAGUUUGCAUCAUGAAUGACAGUGCAUUUUAAACAGUGCCACCUUUAUGGGUUACUUGGUGCAGUGAAUUGUGUUCUCUGUUUACAUUCUGGACUUGCUCUUUUGUGGUGCAGUGUUCAGUGUGAGUGGUGGUCACAGUUAGAGUCCAGCACACGUAGGUGGUGGUGAUAAUUACAGACCAGCUGUGGCCGUGUGGCCAGUGCAUGGCCAUGUCAGUGCCAGUGCCGGUGCAGCACCCCGGCCACACACUUCACCCUCUUCCAGCACAACAAUAACCAAACAGGAAGACAGGAAGAUUAAAAAUAAUACAUGUUAGCUGAAUGUUUAAUCGAUUUCUAAAACAAACUUAUAGCUAAUAAAUCAACAUUUAUAUAAAUAAAUUCUUGAUAUAAUUAUAUAUAUAUAUAUAUAUAUAUAUAUAUAUAUAUAUAUAUAUAUAUAUAUAUAUAUAUAUAUAUAUAUAUAUAUAUAUAUAUACUGUAAGCAUAGAUGCUACAGAUGAAUCUUCUACUCAAGAAGGAUUAGCAAGUAGUAUAAGGCAAUUGCUUUGUUAAAUAAAAUAAACUUCAUGAUAGUCAAAGUUAUGAAACUUUUCUGUGAGAAAGAAAGUUAAUACAGUGAUUUGAAGGAGGCACGAGGCCCAAGCUAUGUACAGAACACCACGGCAGCGGCGAUAGUGCCGGCUGGCAGGGACCAGGGCGGCCAGACUUACGCAAGCCUCCUGUAGUGGUUGAGCCACUCCUCUGUCAUCUGGGCCACGGCCAGCGGCUUCUUGGUGAGUCGCUGCUGAGCCACCAGCACGCCGCCCUCACUCACACACACCUCCAGCCACUGCCGCAGCAACGACUCCUCACACCCAACCUGCAGCCACACCACCACUCAUUACUGCACCUGCACUCCAUCUAACUCCACUCCUGCUUCUUCCUGGCCAUGCUCACCACAUCACAUGACAUGGCAACACCACCUCCACACUUGACCUGUGGCACUGGCACCUGGUUGACUCCUGCCAUCCUGACCUGCUACUCAGCCACUGCACUGCACUAGUCAUGCAGAGAGAAGAAAAAAACUCAAAGAACUCCAAAGUCCCCAUUGGAAGCAGGCAAUUCAUCUAGUCACUGAGGGGCUGAAGGUUUCCAACAAACAACACCAGUGACAUCAACUCAAAGAGCUCUGAAGGAGGCUGAGGUAGGGAUGUACACACACACACACACACACACACACACACACACACACACACACACACUCUCACUCUCUCUCUCUCUCUGACCCACAGUAUGUUGACAAACCAACAAACCAAAAUCACUCCCUACAUACAUAUAAACACUUCCACUCUCACCUUCCCUCCAUACAUCACCCACUAGAGCAGGGGUUCCCACACCAAAUAACAAUAAACAUCCAAGCCAAGAAUUCCUAAACUAGCUUCAAGUAUGCAAUUCCAUCCAUCCCACUGAUGUUCUUGACAUCUUUGGUAAUAGUCAUUAGAGAUACACAAUUUUCAAAUACAAUAAAUAAAAGAAAAUCUCUAGUGUUUUAAUUUAGCCAUAUAUAUCAAUAAUAACAACAUUUUGUGAAAGGGGUAACAUGCUUUAUGUGGCAUGUUAAAUUGGGUAACAAGCUGAAAGUUUGGGAACCACUGCACUAGAGUUUAUCAACACAUACAAACCCCUUUUUUGAUUUCAUCCUUCACUCAAGCCAUCAACAGCAGUAGCUUAUAGACAGUCACACACCACCCACCACAUGCCACCUACCUCAGCCUGAGUGACAAAGUGAACAGGCAGGAGUUUGGCGUCGUGAGUCAUCAAGGGAAGGAACACCACCUGCGACUCCCCAGAAUCCAAAAUUGCUCCUGUAAAUAGUGGUGAUGAGUUGGUGUGUCUGGCUCAACAAUAAACAUACUUCUUGGUCACUUA
This 6849-nucleotide unclassified non-coding RNA is filed under the name Portunus trituberculatus (swimming crab). RNAcentral describes it as "cysteine desulfurase, mitochondrial-like, transcript variant X3". Lineage: Eukaryota; Metazoa; Arthropoda; Malacostraca; Decapoda; Portunidae. The record is from RNAcentral.